GUGGGGAAUAUUGGACAAUGGGCGAAAGCCUGAUCCAGCCAUGCCGCGUGUGUGAAGAAGGUCUUCGGAUUGUAAAGCACUUUAAGUUGGGAGGAAGGGUAGUAACCUAAUACGUUGCUACUUUGACGUUACCGACAGAAUAAGCACCGGCUAACUUCGUGCCAGCAGCCGCGGUAAUACGAAGGGUGCAAGCGUUAAUCGGAAUUACUGGGCGUAAAGCGCGCGUAGGUGGUUCAGUAAGUUGGAAGUGAAAUCCCCGGGCUCAACCUGGGAACUGCUUUCAAAACUGCUGAGCUAGAGUACGGUAGAGGGUGGUGGAAUUUCCUGUGUAGCGGUGAAAUGCGUAGAUAUAGGAAGGAACACCAGUGGCGAAGGCGACCACCUGGACUGAUACUGACACUGAGGUGCGAAAGCGUGGGGAGCAAACAGGAUUAGAUACCCGGGUAGUCC
RNAcentral lists this ribosomal RNA (450 nucleotides) under uncultured bacterium. RNAcentral's name for it is "bacterial SSU rRNA". It matches the Rfam family "Bacterial small subunit ribosomal RNA", at positions 354 to 796 of the family's 1533-position model. The record is from RNAcentral.